GUGGGGAAUCUUGCGCAAUGGGCGAAAGCCUGACGCAGCCAUGCCGCGUGAAUGAUGAAGGUCUUAGGAUUGUAAAAUUCUUUCACCGGGGACGAUAAUGACGGUACCCGGAGAAGAAGCUCCGGCUAACUUCGUGCCAGCAGCCGCGGUAAUACGAAGGGGGCUAGCGUUGCUCGGAAUUACUGGGCGUAAAGGGCGCGUAGGCGGACAGCUUAGUCAGAGGUGAAAGCCCAGGGCUCAACCUUGGAAUUGCCUUUGAUACUGGCUGUCUUGAGUUUGGGAGAGGUGAGUGGAACUCCGAGUGUAGAGGUGAAAUUCGUAGAUAUUCGGAAGAACACCAGUGGCGAAGGCGACUCACUGGCCCGAUACUGACGCUGAGGCGCGAAAGCGUGGGGAGCAAACAGGAUUAGAAACCCCAGUAGUCC
This 425-nucleotide ribosomal RNA is filed under the name uncultured bacterium. Its description in RNAcentral is "partial 16S ribosomal RNA". It matches the Rfam family "Bacterial small subunit ribosomal RNA", at positions 354 to 796 of the family's 1533-position model. The record is from RNAcentral.